Molecule: long non-coding RNA, 349 nt
Organism: Grammomys surdaster
Lineage: Eukaryota; Metazoa; Chordata; Mammalia; Rodentia; Muridae
Exons: 3
Source: RefSeq, a predicted model, not a curated record
CAGGGAUGAUGUCACUCGUCACUUGAGAGCUCUGGUGUUAGACCAGGUUUACUAGGAGACAAGUGGGGACUGUUGAGAGCUGUGAUUUUGGCUGAUGAAGCUGCUUUGGAAAUUGGCAUCACUGUCAGCAUGAAGAGGUGUCAAGGACUGGACUUGCAGGACAAGAAGAGAUUAUAUAUUCUCAGAGAAGCUGAAGAUAUUCUCAGAGAAGCAUGCGCUGAAGAUAUUCUCAGAGAAGCGCACGCUGAAGAACAAGUACAGAGGCAAAGAACGGUAAUAUAGAAUAUCGUAUAGCGGGUGUUCACAGAAGCAGCUGGGGUUACGGCGGAGGUGGGGAGUACAGCUUCAU